RNAcentral lists this ribosomal RNA (301 nucleotides) under uncultured bacterium. RNAcentral's name for it is "partial 16S ribosomal RNA". It matches the Rfam family "Bacterial small subunit ribosomal RNA", at positions 509 to 807 of the family's 1533-position model. The record is from RNAcentral.
CAGUCGCCACGGUAAUACAGAGGGUGCAAGCGUUAAUCGGAUUUACUGGGCGUAAAGGGCGCGUAGGUGGUUAUUUAAGUGAGAUGUGAAAUCCCCGGGCUUAACCUGGGAACUGCAUUUGUGACUGGCGAGCUAGAGUAUGGCAGAGGGGGGUAGAAUUCCACGUGUAGCAGUGAAAUGCGUAGAGAUGUGGAGGAAUACCGAUGGCGAAGGCAGCCCCCUGGGCCAAUACUGACGCUCAUGCACGAAAGCGUGGGGAGCAAACAGGAUUAGAUACCCCAGUAGUCCCUGUCUCUUAUAC